AUGAUUUGAAAUUAAAUAGCCGCAGUAUUUUGACUGUGCUAAGGUAGCAUAAUCAAUUGUUUUUUAAUUAAGAACUGGAAUGAAGGAAUUGAUGAAAUUAAGACUGUCUAAUAUAAAAUGUUAAAAUUUAAAUUUUAAGUAAUAAUUCUUAAAUAAAAUUAUGGGACGAGAAGACCCUAUAGAAUUUGAUAUAAUUUUUUAAAAUAAAUAUAAAAUAAGAUUUAAUAAAAUUAAUAUUUUAUUGGGAGGAUAAUUAAAUUAAAUUAACUUUAAAAUUAAAAUUGAACAUUAAUUUAUGAUAAUAAUUGAAUAAUUUUAUAAUAAUAAUUAAAAUUAAUUAAAAAUUAAUUACCUUAGGGAUAACAGCGUAAUAUUUUUAAAAAGAUCAUAUUGAUAAAAGU
This 401-nucleotide ribosomal RNA is filed under the name Lasius niger. RNAcentral describes it as "partial 16S ribosomal RNA". The record is from RNAcentral. Lineage: Eukaryota; Metazoa; Arthropoda; Insecta; Hymenoptera; Formicidae.